ACUCCUACGGGAGGCAGCAUUGGGGAAUAUUGCACAAUGGGGGAAACCCUGAUGCAGCCAUGCCGCGUGUGUGAAGAAGGCCUUCGGUUGUAAAGCACUUUCAGUAGGGAGGAAGGUAGUGUAGUUAACACCUGCACUAUUUGACGUUACCUACAGAAGAAGCACCGGCUAACUCCGUGCCAGCAGCCGCGGUAAUACGGAGGGGUGCGAGCGUUAAUCGGAAUUACUGGGCGUAAAGCGCAUGCAGGCGGCCUGUUAAGUCAGAUGUGAAAGCCCGGGGGCGUUAACCUCGGAAUUAGCAUUUGAAACUAGGCAGGCUAGAGUCUGUUAGAGGGGGUAGGAAGUUUCAGGUGUAGCGGUGAAAUGCGUAGA
RNAcentral lists this ribosomal RNA (372 nucleotides) under uncultured bacterium. Its description in RNAcentral is "bacterial SSU rRNA". It matches the Rfam family "Bacterial small subunit ribosomal RNA", at positions 335 to 694 of the family's 1533-position model. The record is from RNAcentral.